Trichobilharzia regenti is the source of this 46-nucleotide non-coding RNA. NCBI's taxonomy places the organism in Eukaryota, Metazoa, Platyhelminthes, Trematoda, Strigeidida, Schistosomatidae. The record is from Rfam.
GUACUGCUGAAGAGUCUCAAACUAGGACUAAACAGCUUUCCAGUAC